CGGGGCUGUCGUGUCUGUCC
RNAcentral lists this microRNA (20 nucleotides) under Ophiophagus hannah (king cobra). RNAcentral's name for it is "oha-miR-425-3p". Its record names the gene oha-miR-425-3p. Lineage: Eukaryota; Metazoa; Chordata; Lepidosauria; Squamata; Elapidae. The record is from miRBase by way of RNAcentral.